Molecule: unclassified non-coding RNA, 668 nt
Filed under: Pentatropis sp. LS-2015
Lineage: Eukaryota; Viridiplantae; Streptophyta; Magnoliopsida; Gentianales; Apocynaceae
Description: sequence contains ITS1, 5.8S rRNA gene, ITS2
Rfam family: 5.8S ribosomal RNA (bases 251-406)
Source: RNAcentral
CAUUGUCGAAUGCUUGUACCGAAUGACCUGCGAACACGUUCCGAAAAAAUGAGGAGCGCUGUUGCGCCCUUGCUUGGUGGUUGGUCGGUGACCUGUUUGCCGGACGCGUCGAGCGUGGAAAACAAAAUCCGGCGCGGGGAGCGCCAAGGACUAGCGAAAUAUGGAGGAUGGCCUUCCCGCGGUAUCGCGGCCGCGGGGAUUAAAAGGGCGUCCGAAUGAAAAUGGUUUAAUAUUUUAAUAUAUACAACACGACUCUCGGCAACGGAUAUCUAGGCUCUCGCAUCGAUGAAGAACGUAGCAAACUGCGAUAGUUGGUGUGAAUUGCAGAAUCCCGUGAACCAUGGAGUCUUUGAACGCAAGUUGCGCCCGAAGCCAUUAGGCCGAGGGCACGUCUGCCUGGGCGUCGAGCAUUGCGUCGUCCCCCCCCCCCCCGGGUUUUCGGGACGGCGGGGCGUGGCGUGGGGGGCGGAAGUUGGCUUCCCGUGCAGCGUUUGCGGCUAGCCCGAAACAACGGUUUCCCUCGGCGCGGACGUGGCGACAAGUGGUGGUCGUGGGAGAUUGUACGCGAGUUGCCGGCAAAGCUGCGUCGAGGAGAGCAUUUGGACCCUGUGCGAGUGGAGUCCCUUCAGCGAGGGGCAAUCGCAACGAUCGCGACCCCAGGUCAGGCG